CGAAUCGAUUUCCCGAUCUUCUGCGCCAGUGUGUCCGGCAAGGGAGCUAACGACUUCAACCGAUGGGGGAUUAACGACGGUUGGCGGUCUUGCUGUUGCUUUUGGCGAGAGAAAGUAGCGCUGGAAGCCAAUCGACGGAGAAAGGUGAUGGAGGAUUGCUGGAAUGAGGAGAGAGGCUUAGGUGAGGAGGGAAAGAAGAGAGAGAAGAGAGUCCUAUUAUGGUGAUGGAAGAUUGCGAAUUGCUGUCUCAGACUCAGACUCAGACUCGGAGGCCUUAUGGCCAUCAAAUCUUAAUUUAGGCGAAAUAAAAAAGGCG
This 316-nucleotide unclassified non-coding RNA is filed under the name Hevea brasiliensis (rubber tree). Lineage: Eukaryota; Viridiplantae; Streptophyta; Magnoliopsida; Malpighiales; Euphorbiaceae. The record is from RNAcentral.